Molecule: transfer RNA, 62 nt
Filed under: Ephemera orientalis (oriental mayfly)
Lineage: Eukaryota; Metazoa; Arthropoda; Insecta; Ephemeroptera; Ephemeridae
Description: tRNA-Asn
Source: RNAcentral
UUAGAUAAAGCCAAAAAGAGGCUUAUCACUGUUAAUGAUAGAAUUGGUUAUAAACCUAUCUG